GCCCAGUGACCCCUGCACUUCCAGGGAUCCUCCAGUCCCUGCCUCCCAUCCACCUUGGUAACACCCAGAAGACAUGGGUUUCAGGGAUGCAAACUUGGGUCCUCACACCCGAACAGCAAGUGCCUUACCCCCUGAGCCGUAAGCAGUCCAGAUUUCUUUGAUCGUUAGAUGUCUUUAAUCUUAAGACACUAAAGACAAAGACAAAGGUGUUUCUGGAGAAAAACCUGCAUUCCUAAGAAUACUUUCCCAAGGUACCUGGAGUUGUUGUUAAUCCUGACCACUGUGAGAGAAAGACCAAUUCCACAGUUUUUGCGCCAAAUUGAGGCAAGCUUUAAUUAAAUACUGGCCAGGAUCCUGGAUUCUGGCCAAGUCGAUUUCUGGGUUCCCAGAAAACAGCCGUGUUUUGCAGAGGCUUGAAAGGGCAAGACCACUAGGCCACCAUAUUUUCCAUCAGGUCCAGUCAGGGCCAAGCACACAUCCUGAUGUAUUUCCUGCCUGUACACCUCCUACCCACAUCCAGUCAAGUGCUUUGGAUUUGAACAGAUUUGCCUGCUAGAGCAAAAUCUGUGGCUUGUUAAUGCCUGAGUGCCUAGCCACAGCCCCCACAGUUCCAGAAAGUUACCUGUCCUUGGGCAAGUGGGACUUGCAAGUUAACUUUGGCUCUUACAUAAUAAAGCUAGCACGGAGUCCUUUGUACUGUUGUGUUCUACCUCAAUCUUCACUACCACAGUAAGCGGGACCUCAUGCCUUCUUCGCCGUUGGAGCAGAUGCCUUCAGUUGCUUCACCGCUGCAGCCCUGAGAAUCAGUGGCCAUGAUUAAAGCUGAAUCUGCCUUAGGAAAUCCGCACCUUUCUCCCAGCUUUGGAUGAUCUGCGGUAGUGGCGCCUGUGCAGCAACCCCGCUUAGGACCCUUGUCACUUAACUUCUUGUCCCCUUAACAUUUUCCCUUGGUCCCUCACUCAGAUCAACCUCUACUUCCUGGACCAUUGGAAAAUGUUGAGCCCUUACUUGGGUAGUAGCUUGUGUCAUGGUCUUCAGGUUUUCAGAGGUAUUAUGUAGAUAAGCUUUCAAAAUUCUAAACUGCUCUAUGAACGUGUUACUAUUACUAUUUAAUUAUGUAAUUCUUCUCUAUCCCUUCCUGUCCUUCAAACUGAAGACCCUAUAAGGACAUGCUGGUUUCUUCGUCACUAACCUGUGUUUUGCGUCCACCUGGUCAUUUCCAACAAAGACUGUUAUACUGAUACAGUACAACAUGUGUACGCAGACUUACCAAAAAUGGCACUGAUAAUGGUGUUGGUGUGCCCAGGAUCACCCUACGGCAAGCUAAUAGAUAACCCUGAAUCUGAGUUGGUUAUUCCUGUAUGGGAGGAAGAUGGGGACAAGUGACCACCAUCUCAUGGUCUUUCUAUGACAAGACUGUUGAGCCCCGUCAGCCUCCUGGAUGCUCACUGUGCUCUCCAAGUGCAUGGGACUCUGGGGUUUCCUCACAGAAGACACACACACAGCUCUACUCUGUAGACUCCUCACAGAGUGCUCAGCCACACUUCCUAGGAAGGACCCUGGUUGCAACCUCCUUGUGCAAUUAACACCCAUUCUCAGAAAAGUGCAGCACUGGUUCACAGCAUUGAUGAAAGAAAAGGAUAAAUAUCAAAAGAAAACCCUGCCGUAGAGGGGUGUCCCAUGGUAAAGGGGAAUGAAUGUUUCCAAUUUAUCCCUGAAAUCUGAGUCAAGAAACAGUGGCAGCUCAUCCUAAACAGUGGAAACAGAAACUCCUAAAGAUGCUAUGGUUCUGCUGGGAGCUGGAAGCAGCUUGGACAGUUGUCUACAGGACAGAAAAUUAGGUAGGUGGAGUAAACAGAAGAGAAUGCUGGGAAAAAGAAGCUGAAUCAAAGAGUCGCCAUGGUUCUCCGACUCCAGACAGACGCAGGUUAAGAUUCUCCCUGAGCCGUUUACCCUAGGCCUGGAGAAGAAACCGUGAGCCUCCUGGAUGGGCACCAUGAGGACUGAGUAAGCAGAGAUAGACACACACAUGUCCACCAGAGCUGUUUGCCUUAGGAGGGGAGAAGAAACUAUGGCCUGCCUGAUAAUGUGGUGAAGAAUACUCCUUCCCUAAACAAGAUGAACACGAACAAGCUUC
This is a long non-coding RNA of Alexandromys fortis (reed vole), 2137 nucleotides long. RefSeq lists it as uncharacterized. The record is from RefSeq and is a predicted model, not a curated record. Lineage: Eukaryota; Metazoa; Chordata; Mammalia; Rodentia; Cricetidae. The transcript has 4 exons.